CCUACGGGAGGCAGCAGUGAGGAAUAUUGGUCAAUGGUCGGGAGACUGAACCAGCCAAGCCGCGUGCGGGAGGAAGGUACAGAGUAUCGUAAACCUCUUUUGUCAGGGAACAAAGACUGGGACGCGUCCCCGGAUGAGUGUACCUGAAGAAAAAGCAUCGGCUAACUCCGUGCCAGCAGCCGCGGUAAUACGGAGGAUGCGAGCGUUAUCCGGAUGUAGUGGGUUUAAAGGGUGCGCAGGCGGUCUGUUAAGUCAGCGGUAAAAGCCCGGGGCUCAACCCCGGCCCGCCGUUGAAACUGGCAGUCGCGAGUUGGAGAGAAGUAUGCGGAAUGAGCGGUGUAGCGGUGAAAUGCAUAGAUAUCGCGCAGAACUCCGAUUGCGAAGGCAGCAUGCCGGCUCCACACUGACGCUGAGGCACGAAAGCGUGGGUAUCGAACAGGAUUAGAUACCCGAGUAGUC
RNAcentral lists this ribosomal RNA (459 nucleotides) under uncultured bacterium. Its description in RNAcentral is "partial 16S ribosomal RNA". It matches the Rfam family "Bacterial small subunit ribosomal RNA", at positions 338 to 795 of the family's 1533-position model. The record is from RNAcentral.